This 926-nucleotide ribosomal RNA is filed under the name uncultured bacterium. RNAcentral's name for it is "bacterial SSU rRNA". It matches the Rfam family "Bacterial small subunit ribosomal RNA", at positions 56 to 995 of the family's 1533-position model. The record is from RNAcentral.
UGCAGUCGAACGAGAGACCGGGCUUCGGCCCGUGAUCUAGUGGCGGACGGCUGAGUAACACGUGAGGAACUUGCCCUCCGGUGGGGGACAACCACGGGAAACCGUGGCUAAUACCGCAUGAUGUCACGUCUCACAAGGGACGUGACCAAAGACUUCGGUUGCCGGAGGAGAGUCUCGCGGCCUAUCAGCUAGUUGGUGAGGUAACGGCUCACCAAGGCGAUGACGGGUAGCCGGUCUGAGAGGACGAUCGGUCAGAGGGGGACUGAGACACGGCCCCCACUCCUACGGGAGGCAGCAGCAGGGAAUCUUGCGCAAUGGGCGAAAGCCUGACGCAGCGACGCCGCGUGGGGGAUGAAGGCUCUAGGGUUGUAAACCCCUUUUGCUGGGGAAGAAGUUCUGACGGUACCCAGCGAAUAAGGCCCGGCCAACUACGUGCCAGCAGCCGCGGUAAAACGUAGGGGCCAAGCGUUGUCCGGAAUUAUUGGGCGUAAAGGGUGCGUAGGCGGCCCGGUCAGUCUCGUGUGAAAGCUCCCGGCCCAACCGGGAGAGGUCACGGGAUACUGCCGGGCUUGAGGAUAGCAGAGGAAGGUGGAAUUCCCGGUGUAGCGGUGAUAUGCGUAGAUAUCGGGAGGAACACCUGUGGCGAAAGCGACCUUCUGGGCUAUUUCUGACGCUGAGGCACGAGAGCGUGGGGAGCGAACCGGAUUAGAUACCCGGGUAGUCCACGCCCUAAACGGUGGAUACUAGACAUGGGGGGGUAUCGACCCCCUCUGUGUCGUAGUUAACGCGUUAAGUAUCCCGCCUGGGGAGUACGGCCGCAAGGCUAAAACUCAAAGGAAUUGACGGGGGCCCGCACAAGCAGCGGAGCGUGUUGUUCAAUUUCGAUGCCAAGCGAAGAACCUUUACAGGGCUUGACAUGAUUCCGA